CUAGGAACAGUAGAAGAGGAACUUCCAGAAAAUCUUUUGCGAAAAGAGGAGAAAUCUCAAGCCAAACUCUUGCAUAUUCUACGGUAAAUUUUUUUUCGCCAUGUAAGAUGCCCAUCAGAAACUAAGUAGCUGCUCCCAAAGUACUGGAAUUGGACAUGUAGAUUCCCCUCAAUUACCAAUAUAUUUGUUUAGAACCUGGGUAUCUAGUGAUGUUGCCCUUGAAAUGUCAUUAUACUUUUGUUAACAAAAUUAACACAUUUCGCUAUAACCUAAUUAAAUUUCAGUAUAGACUCUAACAAUUAUUAUGUAAGCCAUUAAGUGUUGAUUAGGCUAGUGGACUCACCUCAGGUUUAACUUUUACCUUUUCUCACCUACUUCCUUUACAGACAGGGAAAUGGCAGAGCUGCUCAAAUUGCCAUUAUAAAAACUGCAGAGAUAAGAGAUAUAAACAAAUAAGAGAAUUAAUAUAUUUAGCAGCUUAGCUUAAGAAGAAGUUUGUCACUUUGUUAAAUACACAAGACACGAUCAGGUUUAUGUUCAGAAUCAGAAACUGUGCUAUUACCAUAGGAAUUACCAUAUUAGAAGAGAACAGUCACAAUACUCAGUUUAAUAAUGUAUCUGCUUUCACUUUUACAGUGAUGUUGUAGCAUACAAUGUGAAAUUUUCUCACUUCCGACGCAGUGCCUCCAGUUUCUCUUCUGUGCUGCCUUGGAACUCUGUAUCUUGGAAGAGGAAGAGAUAACCGCUCAUAGCAGUUGUGGUGAUGGCAAAAGAAAAGUCUUGAACAUAGUGGGGCUCCCUCAGAACUGGAGACACAUGACAUGGCGUGUCUCUCACAUGUGAAGAAAAUCUAGUCUUUGAACAAAGACUCAUUAUGGCUGUUCAGCAACUUUUGUGAAGAGUAACGCAUUAGACAUUUGAGAGCAUAGAACACCUACAUGGAGAGUGGUGUGAGCAUUUGUUCUCUUUGAAAAAAAGAUGAAGAUGGACAAUAAAGCAGAUGAUAUGUUGAAAUGGUCAAUAUCUUCAAUGGAAGCAUUACAGAGUGAUGCAUUUUAAAUUGCAUCAAAUUGCAAGAAAGGAUUGACAUUGGUAACAUUUGGGGUGGGUGCUUGAAUAAUUCUACUAGGUUGUCAAUGAUUGUUUUUUUCCAGACAAAUGUGGGGAUCCCUUAUUUAGACUUCAGUGCUGCUGAAGAACAUCCUUCCAUUGUUUACCUUUUGACUGAUAGAAAUUGGUCUUUCAGGCCACUGUAUACUUACAUGUAAGAUAAAUUUAGCAAAUCAGUGUGCAACAGAAAUUGAAAGAGAACUAUUUAGUUACAACAAUGACUUAUGGAACUCACUCACCUAAAGCUAUUAGGUUCAAAGGAAGACUAGAUAACUCUGUCUGGAUAAUUGGUAUUCAUCCUUUGCUUCAAUUACCAAUAUUAGUCCAAGAGAACAGGAAAAUGUGAUGAAUUGACUGGUAUCAAAGCUGAAUAU
This is a non-coding RNA of Pelobates cultripes (western spadefoot toad), 1484 nucleotides long. Lineage: Eukaryota; Metazoa; Chordata; Amphibia; Anura; Pelobatidae. The record is from the annotation of a GenBank genome assembly.